AGUGAGCUAUUAUACUUACUCAGUGCUUCUACACUCUCAGCAUUUGCCACAACAUGUGUUGAUUUUGUGUUGCUAUUGUUUUUACACUGAAAUGAGUGUGAAGUACCUAGUCCUAGUCUAACAUAGCUUCUGAAACUGUUCACAGCAAUUCAGUAAUGGUGGGACAUAUCUAGAGCUGACUGUAGUAUUUUUAGCCUGCUACACAUUGUUAAAGAAUAAAUAGAUGCUGUUUUUUUUUUCUUGACUUGACUGGCAAUGCUGCUCAGUUAAAUUAAAUUUAAAUAGAUUUAAGCCCAAUGUUAUGGUCUAGAUCUACUAUUUUUAUAGUGCAAUUCAAUCUAUAGAUGCUACAUGUAUAUAUACAUUGAAAAUACCCCUAGAUUAGAUCAUUGAUUAGCCCUUAGUAUUCUUGAAACCGCAAUUGAAGCGCGGCACGGUCAGUGGGCACAACAUAAAAUAAAACGAGAAACCUCAUAGAAAAGGCCGUUGUUGUUGUUCUGAGGCUCUAGCCUCGGGACAGGAUCUGUUUAUUGGAACAUGGCCACUAGUCAAGGUGUUGAUGUAUUGAAGAGAUGUGGCUUUCCAGAAACAAAAUGGCAUGGGCUUGGACUCAGACUAGGACUAAAGAAGAGUACACUGGACGUCAUAGAAAAGAAUCAUCCUUAUGAUGUAUCUCGCUGUAUGACAGAGUGUCUCUCCCAAUGGCUAGGUAGAGUUUAUAAUGUUGACAGUAGAGGAGGAGCCAACUUGGACUCACUGUUAGAUGCUCUACGAUCUAUGAAUGAAACUGCUGUAGCUGAAGAGUUAAAACAUCAUGUUCUGAAAGAAAUUUUUAAUAGUUUUUAUGCUGUCCUGUCUCAGACUCUUUGUGAUCCUUUUCCUAUUGCCCAGUCACUUUCUGCUGAACAUAUGUUAACACAAGAAGCAUUUGAUAGAGUGUCGUCAGCUAAUUCCUUUAUUCUUAAUCAACGUGAGACUCUAUUAACUGCAGUCAGAGAAGCUAUUCAAACUGAUCCCAACAGUUUAUGUACAUUUGCUAAUGUAUUAUGUGAAAUAAGCAGUAAUAAACAACUAGGACAAGCUAUACUGGAUGAUAUUAGUAAGUAUCAUUAAUAAUCCUUACAAUUAUGCAUUGAAUAUGACCUACAUUUUUUAUAUGUGUAAUUAAAACUGUUUUAUUUCCCUAAUAUUAAAGUCAAGUUUGUUCCGGAGGCAAUUGAUUUACCACAAGUAGAUGCUUUAAAUAAGUGGUUAAAGGAAGGUAGUGUUGAUCUAACUGUUACUCGUGUUAACAUGCUUGGUACUCCUGGAUCUGGUAAAACCUCUGCCCAGCUCCUACUAUUAGAUGAAGACCCUCCAACUGAAGAAGUUACUGACAGCACACCAAUUGCUUGUCCUACUGUCAGAGCAAUAAGAGUAGCUGUAAAUGAUGAGAACAAAAAA
This 1443-nucleotide unclassified non-coding RNA is filed under the name Amphimedon queenslandica. RNAcentral's name for it is "uncharacterized LOC109581885, transcript variant X1". The record is from RNAcentral. Lineage: Eukaryota; Metazoa; Porifera; Demospongiae; Haplosclerida; Niphatidae.